CGCUCCCCCGUCCACCCCCCCCUCCAAAUCUCCGCCCAAAUCCCCCAUUCGCCUCUCGCCCUCGCCCUCCCGCACGCGCGAGAGCGAGCGAGAGAAGAAUCCGAGAGGGAGGAGGGAGGGAGGAGGGGGAUGGAGUCGGAUCAGGGGAAGCUGUUCAUCGGCGGCAUCUCGUGGGAGACCACGGAGGAGAAGCUACGGGACCACUUCGGCGCCUACGGGGAGGUCUCCCAGGCCGCCGUCAUGCGCGACAAGCUCACCGGCCGCCCCCGCGGCUUCGGCUUCGUCGUCUUCGCCGACCCGGCCGCCGUCGACGCCGCCCUCGUCGACCCCCACACCCUCGACGGCCGCACGGUGGACGUGAAGCGGGCGCUGUCGCGGGAGGAGCAGCAGGCGGCGAAGGCCGCCAACCCUAGCGCGGGGAGGCACGCUGCUGGUGGCAGCGGCGGCGGCGGCGGUGGGGGUGCGGGCGGUGACGCCGGCGGUGCCAGGACGAAGAAGAUCUUCGUUGGCGGCCUGCCCUCCAAUCUGACGGAGGACGAGUUCCGGCAGUACUUCCAGACCUACGGGGUUGUCACCGACGUCGUUGUGAUGUACGACCAGAACACGCAGCGGCCCCGGGGGUUCGGGUUCAUCACCUUCGACUCGGAGGACGCGGUGGACCGCGUGCUGCACAAGACCUUCCAUGACCUGAGCGGGAAGAUGGUGGAGGUGAAGCGGGCGUUGCCCAGGGAGGCGAACCCUGGUUCUGGUGGUGGGCGUUCCAUGGGAGGUGGAGGUUACCAGAGUAACAACGGGCCUAACUCUAAUGCUGGAAGCUAUGAUAGCAGAGCUGAUGCUAGCAGAUAUGGUCAGGCACAGCAGGGUAGUGGUGGUUAUCCAGGUUAUGGUGCCGGUGGAUAUGGUGCUGGUGCGGUUGGAUAUGGAUAUGGGCAUGCGAACCCUGGAACUGCUUAUGGGAAUUAUGGGACUGGAGGAUUUGGAGGUGUUCCUGCUGGGUAUGGUGGACAUUAUGGCAAUCCAAACGGACCUGGUUCAGGUUACCAGGGUGGUCCUCCGGGAGCAAACAGGGGACCAUGGGGUAGUCAAGCUCCAUCUGGUUAUGGCACUGGGAGUUAUGGAGGUAAUGCAGGGUAUGCUGCUUGGAACAACUCUUCUGCUGGAGGCAAUGCACCCUCUGGUCAGACUGCUGGUGCAGCUGCAGGCUAUGGGGGCCAGGGUUACGGCUAUGGUGGAUAUGGUGGAGAUGCAUCAUAUGGUAACCAUGGAGGAUAUGGGGGUUAUGGAGGGAGGGGAGAUGGUGCUGGCAAUCCAGCUGCUGGCGGUGCAUCUGGGUAUGGUGCAGGUUAUGGAAGUGGGAAUGGUGGUUCUGCUUAUCCAAAUGCUUGGGCUGAUCCUUCACAAGGUGGAGGAUUUGGGGCUUCAGUCAAUGGAGCUGCUGAAGGGCAAUCAAAUUAUGGCAGUGGUUAUGGUGGUGUGCAACCUAGGGUUGCUCAGUAAGCAAGACCAUUAGAGAAUCUAUGAGAAGAGCCAGCAAAUUUGGGCAGUCUAUGUAUGUUGUGUUACUCUGGCCCCUCUGGUUGCUUUUGGCUUCUUGAAGAUCACUCAUUUGCUGGUUUAAUCAGUAUUUCUUCGGGUUGGACGAGAUGCCAUUCACUCUUAGAGCAUGUCCAAGUGGGGGCUUGUGAAUCAACUGCCUGAGAAACAGCAGAGUCAUCAACUGAUUUUACUUGAUGGGCUGAUGAGUUCCAAUCUCUGAGGCAUUUGACACAGAAUGCAAGCAUCUUGCUUUUAAGCGCCUCAUUUCUGAAGGAUCUUGUGCUGUGCAACAAGAUGGUGGGUUGUGGGAGAAGUGAGGACUGAGGAACUGAGGAACAGUAUGUUCUGGAGGGAGGAGACGGUGGUUUCUCCAUGCAUAGUAUUAUUUUUAGAAGAUUUGGCGAACAAGCAGAGAAGAUAAUGAGUAGCAGAAUAUCUACACGCAUUUUUAAUCCAGCAUGAGAAUCACCAAAUAUAUCCCACCAUAUGUGUUAUCUCCUUAAGAAGAAAACAUAGACAGAGAUACACGUUUAAAAGUUGAAUAUCAGCUUUGCAUUUGACUAUUUCUAAAAGUGAAAAAUAUACAAUCUUUUUGAGAGAAAAAAUUAUGUUAGUGCAUCUCAGAUGUUUGACUUGAUUAAGAUCUGAAAUACUUUAGACUUCAUUUAGAUAAAUCUAGUUGCUCAGUCCCAUAAAAGUACAUGCAGUGUUUGGGGACGUGAUGUGGCAUAUUAUCAUAUAACCAAAUUGCUUUAUAUCUUAACCGUAGAGCUCAAUCACUGGAUUUUCUACUGUACUACCACAGAUAUUUGGAAAUGACCAAUUACAUUUCCAUUUGAUGAGAGCAUCGUUGAUCUUUAAUUUUUAAUAGUCUAUUUAUGCCAUCUCUUAGAUUUUAUUAAUAGCUUUGGGGAAGAAAUAAUAUAACUUAUUUUCAUGGAUUCUCAUCAUAUUUUUUGAUCUGUUGCUGUUAUGUUUUCCUCUGUAGUAAACCUGAUGAAAAUAAGAAAAUUGGAAACUUGACUGGAUAUACCACAUAUAGUGGAAAGUGUUAUUGAUAACUGCACUAGUAUCAAGCAAUCUUUAUGCAGCAAAUAAAGUUAGCCCAACUUUUGUGAUAUGCUUUUACUCAUGUAUUUGAAAUAACCAAUCAUUUGCAGAUCUAUUAUCAUCAUUCUAUUAACCUCUUUGAAUACCUCGUUUUCUUGAAGUCAAUGCAAUGGAAUAUGCCUCCCAGAUUGCUGAAAGGUCAUCUGCAAAUACACCAAAAGUAAGAUGAUUGUAGCGGCCAUGCAUAUAUGAUGACCACAAGACUUGUGCUUGUCCAAUGUAUUUCGUUCUUAAUGGAGAUCCUCACACCAGCGUUGUGACUUUAUAUUGAAGGACCAGUUGUUUGAAGCCAUUUGAUGCCCUACCUUACAAAUUGUUGAUGGAAUGGUUCAGGCGUUUGUCGACAUCAAUCUGGAGAUGUUUGUUGAGCUCAUUGCAUGACAAGUUAAUAAAUUAUAUUGAAUAUGAUUUCUUAGAAGUAACAUUGGGAUAUUGCCAGAAAAUGUUGGUCCUCCUACACAAUAGGAGUAACAUUGCUAUGCUAUACCAGUUGUGAAAUGAUUUAUUUGUCGUCAUAAUGAAAGCCUUGUCAUUUUCUUCCACAGAAAUGGAAAAUGCCUUUC
RNA transcript from Oryza brachyantha (malo sina), 3209 nucleotides. It is a transcript of the gene named heterogeneous nuclear ribonucleoprotein 1-like, with no coding region annotated. The record is from RefSeq and is a predicted model, not a curated record. The transcript is spliced from 4 exons. NCBI's taxonomy places the organism in Eukaryota, Viridiplantae, Streptophyta, Magnoliopsida, Poales, Poaceae.